UUUGAUCGUAAGAUGAUAAUGUCAAAAAAUUAUAAAAUUUUAAAAAUACUUUAAUAUUUUAAAUUAUGUUUAACAGUAUGGAUUGUCGAUCCGUAAAUUCUAUCAUUAAAAGCUAUGAAUAAGAAGAUGAUCGACUUAUAAUAGUGUAGUAGUCAGAAUAUUACUAUAUAUAACUAUAGUCCGGCUAUGGCUCUUUUAAAAGCACCAAUCACUUGGUGUUUAUAAGUUUUCCGCUAUUAGAUCUACCUGCGUAAUUAUUUUCACCUGUUAGAUUAUACUAUUUAACCAACCACAUUAUGAUCUAACCCUGAU
This 312-nucleotide long non-coding RNA is filed under the name Ananas comosus (pineapple). Its description in RNAcentral is "long non-coding RNA (ACOM_LNC013289)". Lineage: Eukaryota; Viridiplantae; Streptophyta; Magnoliopsida; Poales; Bromeliaceae. The record is from RNAcentral.